CAGUCGCCGCGGUAAAACGUAGGUGGCAAGCGUUGUCCGGAAUUAUUGGGCGUAAAGGGCUCGCAGGCGGUUUCUUAAGUCUGAUGUGAAAGCCCCCGGCUCAACCGGGGAGGGUCAUUGGAAACUGGGAAACUUGAGUGCAGAAGAGGAGAGUGGAAUUCCACGUGUAGCGGUGAAAUGCGUAGAGAUGUGGAGGAACACCAGUGGCGAAGGCGACUCUCUGGUCUGUAACUGACGCUGAGGAGCGAAAGCGUGGGGAGCGAACAGGAUUAGAUACCCGAUAGUCCCUGUCUCUUAUACA
Molecule: ribosomal RNA, 301 nt
Filed under: uncultured bacterium
Lineage: Bacteria
Description: partial 16S ribosomal RNA
Rfam family: Bacterial small subunit ribosomal RNA
Source: RNAcentral